GCGGACAGAUGGGAGCUUGCUCCCUGAUGUUAGCGGCGGACGGGUGAGUAACACGUGGGUAACCUGCCUGUAAGACUGGGAUAACUCCGGGAAACCGGGGCUAAUACCGGAUGCUUGUUUGAACCGCAUGGUUCAAACAUAAAAGGUGGCUUCGGCUACCACUUACAGAUGGACCCGCGGCGCAUUAGCUAGUUGGUGAGGUAAUGGCUCACCAAGGCAACGAUGCGUAGCCGACCUGAGAGGGUGAUCGGCCACACUGGGACUGAGACACGGCCCAGACUCCUACGGGAGGCAGCAGUAGGGAAUCUUCCGCAAUGGACGAAAGUCUGACGGAGCAACGCCGCGUGAGUGAUGAAGGUUUUCGGAUCGUAAAGCUCUGUUGUUAGGGAAGAACAAGUACCGUUCGAAUAGGGCGGUACCUUGACGGUACCUAACCAGAAAGCCACGGCUAACUACGUGCCAGCAGCCGCGGUAAUACGUAGGUGGCAAGCGUUGUCCGGAAUUAUUGGGCGUAAAGGGCUCGCAGGCGGUUUCUUAAGUCUGAUGUGAAAGCCCCCGGCUCAACCGGGGAGGGUCAUUGGAAACUGGGGAACUUGAGUGCAGAAGAGGAGAGUGGAAUUCCACGUGUAGCGGUGAAAUGCGUAGAGAUGUGGAGGAACACCAGUGGCGAAGGCGACUCUCUGGUCUGUAACUGACGCUGAGGAGCGAAAGCGUGGGGAGCGAACAGGAUUAGAUACCCUGGUAGUCCACGCCGUAAACGAUGAGUGCUAAGUGUUAGGGGGUUUCCGCCCCUUAGUGCUGCAGCUAACGCAUUAAGCACUCCGCCUGGGGAGUACGGUCGCAAGACUGAAACUCAAAGGAAUUGACGGGGGGCCCGCACAAG
This 883-nucleotide ribosomal RNA is filed under the name Bacillus sp. (in: firmicutes). RNAcentral describes it as "bacterial SSU rRNA". It matches the Rfam family "Bacterial small subunit ribosomal RNA", at positions 66 to 929 of the family's 1533-position model. The record is from RNAcentral. Lineage: Bacteria; Bacillati; Bacillota; Bacilli; Caryophanales; Bacillaceae.